RNAcentral lists this ribosomal RNA (912 nucleotides) under uncultured bacterium. RNAcentral's name for it is "bacterial SSU rRNA". It matches the Rfam family "Bacterial small subunit ribosomal RNA", at positions 8 to 916 of the family's 1533-position model. The record is from RNAcentral.
AGAGUUUGAUCCUGGCUCAGAUUGAACGCUGGCGGAAUGCUUUACACAUGCAAGUCGAGCGGCAGCGCGGGGCAACCUGGCGGCGAGCGGCGAACGGGUGAGUAAUACAUCGGAACGUACCCUGUCGUGGGGGAUAACUAACCGAAAGGUUGGCUAAUACCGCAUACGACCUGAGGGUGAAAGCGGGGGAUCGCAAGACCUCGCGCGAUAGGAGCGGCCGAUGUCGGAUUAGCUAGUUGGUGAGGUAAAGGCUCACCAAGGCGACGAUCCGUAGCGGGUCUGAGAGGACGGCCCGCCACACUGGAACUGAGACACGGUCCAGACUCCUACGGGAGGCAGCAGUGGGGAAUUUUGGACAAUGGGCGCAAGCCUGAUCCAGCCAUUCCGCGUGAGUGAAGAAGGCCUUCGGGUUGUAAAGCUCUUUCGGCAGGGACGAAACGGUGAGGGCUAAUACCCUUUACUAAUGACGGUACCUGAAGAAGAAGCACCGGCUAACUACGUGCCAGCAGCCGCGGUAAUACGUAGGGUGCGAGCGUUAAUCGGAAUUACUGGGCGUAAAGCGUGCGCAGGCGGUUUUGUAAGACAGAUGUGAAAUCCCCGGGCUUAACCUGGGAACUGCGUUUGUGACUGCAAGACUUGAGUGCGGCAGAGGGGGGUGGAAUUCCACGUGUAGCAGUGAAAUGCGUAGAGAUGUGGAGGAACACCGAUGGCGAAGGCAGCCCCCUGGGUCGACACUGACGCUCAUGCACGAAAGCGUGGGUAGCAAACAGGAUUAGAUACCCUGGUAGUCCACGCCCUAAACGAUGCGAACUAGGUGUUGGAGAAGGAGACUUCUUUAGUACCGCAGCUAACGCGUGAAGUUCGCCGCCUGGGGAGUACGGUCGCAAGAUUAAAACUCAAAGGAAUUGAUGG